Long non-coding RNA from Corticium candelabrum, 325 nucleotides. RefSeq lists it as uncharacterized. The transcript has 3 exons. The record is from RefSeq and is a predicted model, not a curated record. NCBI's taxonomy places the organism in Eukaryota, Metazoa, Porifera, Homoscleromorpha, Homosclerophorida, Plakinidae.
UUCUACAGCAUUGGGUUUUGAUGCCGUAAGUGUUGAGAGUGACGUGGAAUCUGGAAAGGUAAUCGUAGACGAAAGAGAUGAAAUGACAGUACCUCACGUCUUUUGCAUUGGAGAUGCAGUUGAUGGUCAACCAGAGCUGACACCGCGGUGGCUAUAAAAGCAAACAAGCUGUUGUCUCAAAGGCUAUUUGGAAUUCUACACACAACAUGGACUAUAAUAAUAUUCCUACAACUGUCUUCACUCCCAUGGAAUAUGGUUGUGUUGGUUUAUCUACCGAAAAAGCAAUAAAUCAAUUUGGCAGCGAAAACAUAGAAACUUAUCAUGC